AUGUUUCUAAGGACGAUGUAAGUGUACAUCUUGAUUGUAAAUCAAUAUGAACCAUAAGAGGAGAAUAGUUUCACUUCGAAAAAAUUCUCAAGGCAUUCAUUAUUGCUAAUGUGAGUACAUCGAGGUCUCAAAUAGACAAAGGACGUCGAUACAACGCCUUAGUACAUAUAACUUGGAACGAAAAUCAAUGUCUAGCCGAUGACAUCAAAGUCAUGGGUAGCUAGAGCAGGAUCUGAAUCUUUGAUAUUUGCGAUCAUGAGGAUGACGUUCUUGUCCUCAUAUUGAUUUUCCAUACCUUUUUGUAUGCAUUUACAAUUUAAAGGAGCUUGACAAUUUUGAACCAGUGAUCCGAAGAUCCACAACGGUUGCAUUAAUGUCAUGAGCUGACGUGAGUAGUUUUGACAAAAUAGUGUCUAGACCGGGAGUGUCGCUAUUAGAGCCGGCAACACCUCCCCCUCUUUUCUAGACAUCGGCACAACGUUUUCUGCCGUUGCCAUGACCCAUAUUGUUGUCCCCACAUUAGGGGAUAAUCCCAAAUAAGUUUAUCACAUUAGCGUAUAUACAAUUCUCGUUUGUAUGAUCAAAAUCAAGUCUUGUUGGUAAUUCCACACCAACUUGGAGGACCUAGAGAACUUGAUGAUGAUCGAAUCCGCUAAAGAUUAUGGAUCAUGAUGCCACAAAAGAUCAUCGACAAUAUGUAGUCAAUUAAGGUGGUAAGCAAUCCACUUGAAUAAUAACUCAACAAGUAGAGUUAUAUGAACGUUUCGAGAAAUGCUCCAUGAGUGCAUUCCACAGUACUUUGUGGUCAUUACUUUUUGCACAGGUUGCCAUUGAAGGCUUUUGUCGAUGUGGCGCUUCAAAAACUUUGAGCGCAUGAGAUGUGAAAUCUCGGCAUCUAGGCUUGUUAGCCUGGGGGUCAAAACAUGUGGUUUAAUCCUUUCCAAUGAAAGGUUCCACAGAUACCAAGCGAAGUUCCGCUUUAGGCAUCUAGUACGUCAAAACUCAAAGUAGCAGAAUGUUACAUUGCUCUUGCAUACAAAACCAAGCUGUUUUGAGACUCGAUAGAGGUCACAAACGAUGCUUUUAAUGGUUUGUCCUUCGGAUUAAUCAUACACAAUCCGGAAAAGCCGCGAAUUGAUCAAACACAAUUCGUAAAAAGGCCUUGGAUUGAUCAAACACAAUCCUGUGAAAGGUCGGGGUUGAUCAAACACAACCCGGACAAAGAAACAAGAGUGAUCCAACAUACUCUUGACCCGCGAAUAAAAUUCUG
This 1270-nucleotide long non-coding RNA is filed under the name Fragaria vesca (wild strawberry). RNAcentral describes it as "long non-coding RNA (FVES_LNC005238)". The record is from RNAcentral. Lineage: Eukaryota; Viridiplantae; Streptophyta; Magnoliopsida; Rosales; Rosaceae.